UACGAAGGGAGCUAGCGUUGUUCGGAAUUACUGGGCGUAAAGGGCGCGUAGGCGGUUAAAUAAGUCAGAUGUGAAAGCCUUGGGCUUAACCUGAGAACAGCAUUUGAUACUGUUUGACUAGAGGACGAGAGAGGAAAGUGGAAUUACGAGUGUAGAGGUGAAAUUCGUAGAUAUUCGUAAGAACACCAGUGGCGAAGGCGACUUUCUGGCUCGUAUCUGACGCUAAGGCGCGAAAGCGUGGGGAGCAAACAGG
Molecule: ribosomal RNA, 253 nt
Filed under: uncultured bacterium
Lineage: Bacteria
Description: partial 16S ribosomal RNA
Rfam family: Bacterial small subunit ribosomal RNA
Source: RNAcentral